UACGUAGGCAGCGAGCGUUGUUCGGAGUUACUGGGCGUAAAGGGUGUGUAGGCGGUUGUUUAAGUUUGGUGUGAAAUCUCCCGGCUCAACUGGGAGGGUGCGCCGAAUACUGAAUGACUUGGAGUGCGGGAGAGGUGAGUGGAAUUCCUGGUGUAGCGGUGAAAUGCGUAGAUAUCGGGAGGAACACCUGUGGCGAAGGCGGCCCCCUGGUUGGAUACUGACGCUGAUACGCGAAAGCGUGGGGAGCAAACAGG
This 254-nucleotide ribosomal RNA is filed under the name uncultured bacterium. Its description in RNAcentral is "partial 16S ribosomal RNA". It matches the Rfam family "Bacterial small subunit ribosomal RNA", at positions 524 to 776 of the family's 1533-position model. The record is from RNAcentral.